GAUGAAGCGAACAAGGGCGCACGGUGGAUGUCUUGGUGUCGAGAGGCGAUGAAGGACGUUGGAACCUGCGAAAAGCCCGAAGGAGCCGGUAACCAGGCUGUGAUCUCGGGAUGUCCGAAUGGGGAAACCCACCUCUAACGAGGUAUCGUGCACUGAAUGCAUAGGUGUACGAAGCGAACCCGGGGAACUGAAACAUCUCAGUACCCGGAGGAAAGGAAAGCAACAGCGACUCCGUGAGUAGCGGCGAGCGAAAGCGGAUCAGCCGGAUGAGAGCUGAAUGGGUUGGAAUGCCCAGCCAGAGAAGGUGAAAGCCCUGUAACUGGAAUCCGGUCAGCCACAGAGUAGGGUCGGGCUCGUGAAACCCGGCUUGAACAUGGGGGGUCCACCCUCCAAGGCUAAGUACUCCUCGACAACCGAUAGUGAAACAGUAAGGUGACUGAAAGAUGACAAGCACCGCGAUGAGCGGGGUGAAAGAGUACCUGAAACCGUGCGCCUACAUGCUGUCGGAGCCUCCCGUUUUACGGGGGUGACGGCGUGCUUUUUGCAUAAUGAGCCCGCGAGUUAGUCUCAGUGGCGAGC
Molecule: ribosomal RNA, 579 nt
Filed under: Phycisphaerales bacterium
Lineage: Bacteria; Pseudomonadati; Planctomycetota; Phycisphaerae; Phycisphaerales
Description: partial 23S ribosomal RNA
Rfam family: Bacterial large subunit ribosomal RNA
Source: RNAcentral